CUACGGGUGGCUGCAGUGAGGAAUAUUGCACAAUGGGGGGAACCCUGAUGCAGCAACGCCGCGUGGAGGAUGACGCAUUUCGGUGUGUAAACUCCUUUUAUAUGUCAAGAAAAUGACGGUAGCAUAUGAAUAAGCACCGGCUAACUCCGUGCCAGCAGCCGCGGUAAUACGGAGGGUGCAAGCGUUACUCGGAAUCACUGGGCGUAAAGGACGCGUAGGCGGGUUGGAAAGUCAGGUGUGAAAUCCUACAGCUUAACUGUAGAACUGCACUUGAAACUUCUAAUCUAGAGUAUGGGAGGGGGGAGAUGGAAUUAGUGGUGUAGGGGUAGAAUCCGUAGAUAUCACUAGGAAUACCUAAAGCGAAGGCGAUCUCCUGGAACAUUACUGACGCUAAGGCGUGAAAGCGUGGGGAGCAAACAGGAUUAGAUACCCGCGUAGUC
This 440-nucleotide ribosomal RNA is filed under the name uncultured bacterium. RNAcentral describes it as "partial 16S ribosomal RNA". It matches the Rfam family "Bacterial small subunit ribosomal RNA", at positions 339 to 795 of the family's 1533-position model. The record is from RNAcentral.